UUUUCAGGAAUACCGUAUUUC
Non-coding RNA from Caenorhabditis elegans, 21 nucleotides. NCBI's taxonomy places the organism in Eukaryota, Metazoa, Nematoda, Chromadorea, Rhabditida, Rhabditidae. The record is from Ensembl.